GUAGGGAAUUUUCGGCAAUGGGGGAAACCCUGACCGAGCAACGCCGCGUGAGUGAUGAAAGUCUUCGGAUUGUAAAGCUCUGUUAUAAGGGAAGAACGUCCCUGAUAGAAUCGGGGAGUGACGGUACCUUAUCAGAAAGCUACGGCUAACUACGUGCCAGCAGUCGCGGUAAUACGUAGGUAGCGAGCGUUAUCCGGAAUUAUUGGGCGUAAAGGGUGCGUAGGCGGCUUGUUAAGUUUAAGGUGAAAGCGUGGGGCUCAACCCCAUAAAGCCUUAGAUACUGACAAGCUAGAGUACUGGAGAGGGUAGUGGAAUUCCAUGUGUAGCGGUAAAAUGCGUAGAUAUAUGGAGGAACACCGGUGGCGAAGGCGGCUACCUAGACAGAGACUGACGCUGAUGCACGAAAGCGUGGGGAGCAAAUAGGAUUAGAUACCCUUGUAGUCC
RNAcentral lists this ribosomal RNA (444 nucleotides) under uncultured bacterium. Its description in RNAcentral is "partial 16S ribosomal RNA". It matches the Rfam family "Bacterial small subunit ribosomal RNA", at positions 354 to 796 of the family's 1533-position model. The record is from RNAcentral.